Xyrichtys novacula (pearly razorfish) is the source of this 3193-nucleotide non-coding RNA. The record is from the annotation of a GenBank genome assembly. Lineage: Eukaryota; Metazoa; Chordata; Actinopteri; Labriformes; Labridae.
UUGGACCCGGACCCGGACCCGGACCCGUCCUCACAGACUCAGAGGUGAAGGACAGGUGAGAAGAUCUCUGGAGCUCAGCUCGUGUUCAGAGACCAACUUCACCUUCAGAUCAAACAACAACAGAGUCGAACCAUGGAGAGAGGUGGACAACAUCUCCAUCAAGUCCUCCAGAACAGUGGAGCUGAAGUCCAGGAGGCUGCUGUAGAUCUGCAGGAGGUCCAGGUUCAGGUGUUGGUCUUCAAAAGUCCAGAAUUAAGGUUCCUUUGGUUCAGUAUUUCCUCCUGCCUGUCCUGGAGUCUUCAGAGGAGCUUCAGUAUAUGCUUUAGAUUAGACCCUGAGGCCUGCACACACACACACACACACACACACACACACACACACACACACACACACACACACACACGUUUGUUUCAUAUUCCUCUCAGGAUGUGAGUCAGCCUCGUUUGUUGUUUUAAUUACAGAGUGAUGGUGAUGGAUCUGGAGGAGAAGGAGGAGCAGAAGGAGAAGGAGGAGCAGAGCUACAAAAACAUCUCACUGCCGUUCGUGAUUAACUGCAGAAGAAGAAGAAGAAGAAGAAAGACCCACGACGUCCUGAGGAGAACAAGAGGGGUUUGUCCUCAGAAAAUGUCUCCUCCAGGCUUCUGUAGAGUAACCCCCUGACCUCCACCUUCAUCCUGAUCGUCUCCUAAAAGGUCGUAUCCUCCGAUCGUAGCUGAUCGUAACCAUUCAAGUUAACGUGUCAAUUUACACCGACUUCUUUCCGUUCCUCUGAGGAUCGCCGGACUCCUCAGCUGAUCACAAGAGUUCUAUUUUUUCUGGACGCCGGAGCAUGGCGGAUAAAUUCAGCACAGAUUAACCCGUGCUGGAAAGGAAGUCGGGCACAGACACAAAAUAAAACAUCCGGCUUCUUUUCAAAAUAAAACACAAACGACGAACAAGUGAAAGGUUUUUAGACGUCAUUUCACCCCGAUGACACCAUGGAUGAGGAGAUGCUGAUUCUAGAAGUCUAGAAGUAGAUUUCCUCCUCUGGAAGGACACAAUCUACUGCUUAUAUGUCUAUGUGUCUGUCUUUAGAGAGACAACUCGUUAUCGUGAGAUUGAACGUGAAUCUGCGGGUUCUUGUGAGUUCUGGCGUUCUGAAUCGGAGCUGUUCCAGAUGCGGUGUCUGUCUAACAGCUGAUGGACUCUUUGGAGAACCCUCAGAUCUGAGGGUUCCUCUACAUCAGCAGAGUCAGAAACAUGAUCAUAACGUCAAGAUGAGAAGCAGAAGAAGAUCCAACAGACAUGUUUGGAGAUCCUGUUUGAAACUGCAGGACAGGAGUCUGCCGUCAGGAGACUCCUGAUCCUGGUGGACUUGAAAAUGGUCCAAAUGGAGGAAGAAGGUCCAGAACCAUCAGCUGAAGAGCAUAAAAAGGAACCAUGAAAGACCGCUCUCUCUGUAGGCAGAUGUUUGUGAAGAUCUCUGAACACUAGAGCUGCUGCUAACUUAUCUCAAACAUCAGAUCUCAGCGCCAACGCCAUCGAGGUGUGAAGGUGAACCGCCAAUCAGACUGUAAACUGAAGAAGAAGAAGAAGAAGGAAAGGAGAAAGGAGGAUUCAGACAAUUUUCCGAACUUUCUGGUUGGUUUCUACUGUCCGAUAUUGUAGCACGCUAACUUUGUUUGGGCUCCUGAACGACACGGGGGAGCAGCGUCUGCCUCACAACCAAUCAGGUUAGAGGAGGUGGAGAACGGCUUUGUUUACAGUCAGAAAGAGCGGACCGCUCAAAAAUGUUCAAAUGUUGACGACACAGACAGAAGAGAACACAGAGAUAUCGAUAUAUUACCAAAUAAUCAAUAACUAAUAACUGUUGACUGAUAUUAGAAGAUGCUUCUUUAACAGAUUCCUGUUUACUUCACCUUUAAGUUGAUUAAAAAGAUCAAUAAUAUUAGUUAAAAUGGUUUGCUUUAUUUAAAAUGGUAAUUAAAUGGAUUUUAUGUUAAGUUAAAAAAAUAUUAAAUAUAUUAUUAUUUUUUUUAUGUUAGAGUUUAUUUAAAAAGUAUAAAAUUGUUCAGUAUAAAUAUUUGAAACAGCAGAAAACUCAAAGAAAAAGUAAAUGUUCCUAAUCUGUAAAUGUAACUUUUAUUUAAAUGUUCUUUAUUUGAGGAAUUCUGACUUUAUUCUCAUUUAUUUAUUUUCUGUUGUAGAUUUUUUUCACCUGCUUGUUGAAACAAUAAACCAGGAAACGAGUGAAACCCUGAAGUCUGGAUCAGUCCUUCCUUUAUCAAAUAUGUCGUAGAGAAGACACUGGACAGAGACGCCACCUUAACAUCAGGUCUGAGGGACUCAGGGACAGAGACGGACAAGAGGGACGAUGGAGACCCAGAGGGACAAAGACAGACCCACAGAGUCCCAAUCAAAGACCUGAAGGAGGUCCUUUCAGAGAGAGGAGGAGAAAAUGGAUCGGUGAUGGUAAACAGACUGACGGAGGGGGGGUCCAGCUCUCUCUCUCUCUCUCUCUCUCUCCCUCUCUCUCUCUCUCUCUCUCUCUCUCUCUCUCUCUCUCUCUCUCUCUCUCUCAGCUCCUCUGUUAUCUGACGGCUUCACUGCUUCACUCAGAGACAGGAAGACCGACGUGGAGAUCUCCAUUCAGCCGCCAAACCUCUGCUCCGAAAAAAACACUCUUUUCAAAAUGAAUGAAGAGUUUUUCCUCCUCCUGUUAGAGAGAGGGAGAGAGCGAGAGAGAGAGAGAGAGGGAGAGAGAGAGAGAGGGAGAGAGAGAGAGAGGAGAGAGAGGGAGAGAGAGGGAGAGGGAGAGAGAGAGAGAUCUUCAGCUGUGACAAAAAUAAAAAGUCUGUGCAGAUUAGAAGCUUCCACCUCCCCUGGGUUUCUUUCAGAGCUCUUGGACGGCUGAACCAAUGAAGGAGACAGACUCAAUGUGUGUGUGUGUGUGUGUGUGUGUGUUUGUGUGUGUGUGUGGGGGGGGGGGGGGUCAGCAGGGGGGCUGCAUUGAGUUUCUGGGCAGUCCGGGGGGGACGGAUCUGUUGGUUUGGAGAAAACUGAGGAACUCUUGAUUCUCCUGAUUCUGCAAAAAUAACCAACAUACAUGAAGUCAGAUAUAUCUGUGUGUGUGUGUGUGCACGUGUGUGUGUGCACGUGUGUGUGUGCACGUGUGUGUGUGUCUGAGGUUCUCCUUGUCCCGACCCAUCCUGAA